RNAcentral lists this ribosomal RNA (482 nucleotides) under uncultured bacterium. Its description in RNAcentral is "partial 16S ribosomal RNA". It matches the Rfam family "Bacterial small subunit ribosomal RNA", at positions 30 to 507 of the family's 1533-position model. The record is from RNAcentral.
AUUGAACGCUGGCGGCAUGCUUUACACAUGCAAGUCGAACGGUAACAGGCCGCAAGGUGCUGACGAGUGGCGAACGGGUGAGUAAUGCAUCGGAACGUGCCCAGUCGUGGGGGAUAACUACUCGAAAGAGUAGCUAAUACCGCAUACGAUCUAUGGAUGAAAGCGGGGGACCGUAAGGCCUCGCGCGAUUGGAGCGGCCGAUGUCAGAUUAGGUAGUUGGUGGGGUAAAGGCUCACCAAGCCAACGAUCUGUAGCUGGUCUGAGAGGACAACCAGCCACACUGGGACUGAGACACGGCCCAGACUCCUACGGGAGGCAGCAGUGGGGAAUUUUGGACAAUGGGCGCAAGCCUGAUCCAGCAAUGCUGCGUGCAGGAAGAAGGCCUUCGGGUUGUAAACUGCUUUUGUACGGAACGAAACGGCUCUGGUUAAUACCCGGGGCUAAUGACGGUACCGUAAGAAUAAGCACCGGCUAACUACGUG